AUUAAUUACAUAUGAGAAUCAUGUAUAACUCCAAGAAUAUGGCUUGGGGGUCUCUACCAGGAACCAAUAACUCCUGACUACAAAAUGCGUAUUAUAGCGU
Molecule: non-coding RNA, 100 nt
Filed under: Bacillus cereus
Lineage: Bacteria; Bacillati; Bacillota; Bacilli; Caryophanales; Bacillaceae
Also listed under: 1 other name
Description: Guanine sequence
Rfam family: Purine riboswitch aptamer
About the family: Riboswitches are metabolite binding domains within certain messenger RNAs that serve as precision sensors for their corresponding targets.
Source: RNAcentral